GGUCAAGUUAAAAAGAGCACUAGGAGAAUGCCUAGGCACCAAGAGGCGAUGAAGGACGUGACAAGCUGCGAAAAGCUACGAAGAGGAGCAAAUAUCUUAUGACUCGUAGAUAUCCGAAUGGGGAAACCCACCGUAAGGUAUCCUAUAGCCAAUUCAUAACUAUAGGAAGCGAACCAGGUGAACUGAAACAUCUAAGUAACCUGAGGAAAAGAAAGAAAACUCGAUUCCCAAAGUAGCGGCGAGCGAACAGGGAAGAGCCCAAAGUGUAAAAAGAGAAAAUAGCUAGUCGAAUAAUCUGGGAAGAUAAACCAAAGAAGGUAACAGUCCUGUAGACGAAAGCGAAAAUAUCCGACACAAAAGAGUACCACGGAACACGAGAAAUUCAGUGGGAACAUGGGGGGACCACCCCCUAAGGCUAAAUACUACUUGGUGACCGAUAGCGAACAAGUACCGUGAGGGAAAGGUGAAAAGAACCCCG
This 478-nucleotide ribosomal RNA is filed under the name Peptoniphilus gorbachii. RNAcentral describes it as "partial 23S ribosomal RNA". It matches the Rfam family "Bacterial large subunit ribosomal RNA", at positions 1 to 528 of the family's 2925-position model. The record is from RNAcentral. Lineage: Bacteria; Bacillati; Bacillota; Tissierellia; Tissierellales; Peptoniphilaceae.